AGGCAGCAGUGGGGAAUAUUGCACAAUGGGCGCAAGCCUGAUGCAGCCAUGCCGCGUGUGUGAAGAAGGCCUUCGGGUUGUAAAGCACUUUCAGUCGUGAGGAAGGUAGUGCAGUUAAUAGCUGCAUUAUUUGACGUUAGCGACAGAAGAAGCACCGGCUAACUCCGUGCCAGCAGCCGCGGUAAUACGGAGGGUGCGAGCGUUAAUCGGAAUUACUGGGCGUAAAGCGCAUG
Molecule: ribosomal RNA, 233 nt
Filed under: Vibrio diabolicus
Lineage: Bacteria; Pseudomonadati; Pseudomonadota; Gammaproteobacteria; Vibrionales; Vibrionaceae
Description: partial 16S ribosomal RNA
Rfam family: Bacterial small subunit ribosomal RNA
Source: RNAcentral